RNAcentral lists this unclassified non-coding RNA (354 nucleotides) under soil metagenome. RNAcentral describes it as "partial contains 5.8S ribosomal RNA, internal transcribed spacer 2, and large subunit ribosomal RNA". The stretch from base 1 to 120 matches the Rfam family "5.8S ribosomal RNA", at positions 35 to 154 of the family's 154-position model. The record is from RNAcentral.
GAUGAAGAACGCAGCGAAAUGCGAUAAGUAAUGUGAAUUGCAGAAUUCAGUGAAUCAUCGAAUCUUUGAACGCACAUUGCGCCCGCCAGUAUUCUGGCGGGCAUGCCUGUCCGAGCGUCAUUUCAACCCUCGAACCCCUCCGGGGGGUCGGCGUUGGGGAUCGGCCCUCCCUUAGCGGGUGGCCGUCUCCGAAAUACAGUGGCGGUCUCGCCGCAGCCUCUCCUGCGCAGUAGUUUGCACACUCGCAUCGGGAGCGCGGCGCGUCCACAGCCGUUAAACACCCAACUUCUGAAAUGUUGACCUCGGAUCUGGUAGGAAUACCCGCUGAACUUAAGCAUAUCAAUAAGCGGAGGA